UACGUAGGGUGCAAGCGUUGUCCGGAAUUAUUGGGGGGAAAGAGCUCGUAGGCGGUUCGUCACGUCGGCUGUGAAAACCUGAGGCUCAACCUCAGGCCUGCAGUCGAUACGGGCGGACUCGAGUUCGGCAGGGGAGACUGGAAUUCCUGGUGUAGCGGUGAAAUGCGCAGAUAUCAGGAGGAACACCGGUGGCGAAGGCGGGUCUCUGGGCCGAUACUGACGCUGAGGAGCGAAAGCGUGGGGAGCGAACAGG
RNAcentral lists this ribosomal RNA (253 nucleotides) under uncultured bacterium. Its description in RNAcentral is "partial 16S ribosomal RNA". It matches the Rfam family "Bacterial small subunit ribosomal RNA", at positions 524 to 776 of the family's 1533-position model. The record is from RNAcentral.